UAGCGGCGGACGGGUGAGUAACACGUGGGUAACCUGCCUGUAAGACUGGGAUAACUCCGGGAAACCGGGGCUAAUACCGGAUGCUUGUUUGAACCGCAUGGUUCAGACAUAAAAGGUGGCUUCGGCUACCACUUACAGAUGGACCCGCGGCGCAUUAGCUAGUUGGUGAGGUAACGGCUCACCAAGGCGACGAUGCGUAGCCGACCUGAGAGGGUGAUCGGCCACACUGGGACUGAGACACGGCCCAGACUCCUACGGGAGGCAGCAGUAGGGAAUCUUCCGCAAUGGACGAAAGUCUGACGGAGCAACGCCGCGUGAGUGAUGAAGGUUUUCGGAUCGUAAAGCUCUGUUGUUAGGGAAGAACAAGUGCCGUUCAAAUAGGGCGGCACCUUGACGGUACCUAACCAGAAAGCCACGGCUAACUACGUGCCAGCAGCCGCGGUAAUACGUAGGUGGCAAGCGUUGUCCGGAAUUAUUGGGCGUAAAGGGCUCGCAGGCGGUUUCUUAAGUCUGAUGUGAAAGCCCCCGGCUCAACCGGGGAGGGUCAUUGGAAACUGGGGAACUUGAGUGCAGAAGAGGAGAGUGGAAUUCCACGUGUAGCGGUGAAAUGCGUAGAGAUGUGGAGGAACACCAGUGGCGAAGGCGACUCUCUGGUCUGUAACUGACGCUGAGGAGCGAAAGCGUGGGGAGCGAACAGGAUUAGAUACCCUGGUAGUCCACGCCGUAAACGAUGAG
Molecule: ribosomal RNA, 735 nt
Filed under: Bacillus sp. (in: firmicutes)
Lineage: Bacteria; Bacillati; Bacillota; Bacilli; Caryophanales; Bacillaceae
Description: bacterial SSU rRNA
Rfam family: Bacterial small subunit ribosomal RNA
Source: RNAcentral